Molecule: long non-coding RNA, 315 nt
Organism: Diabrotica virgifera virgifera (western corn rootworm)
Lineage: Eukaryota; Metazoa; Arthropoda; Insecta; Coleoptera; Chrysomelidae
Exons: 2
Source: RefSeq, a predicted model, not a curated record
AACACACAAUAUUUCCUUGUGCCGUUCUUGUUACAGUUAAUUCAACCUCUGCGGUAUAUUCGAGUUUUUUGUGUUGGUUUACGUUUACAUAUUGGAAAAGACUGGUAGACGACAUAUUAAUUAUGUUUGAAGAGUUGUUUAGAUGUAUAUGUGAAACACUAGAAAAAUAAUUUAUAACUGGAAAAUGAAAGACAUUUUCAGCAAGAAACAGUCAAAACACAUUGAAAUUUAGAUAUAUUAUGUACCGAUCUACAUACAAGAAAAAUAUUAAAUGUUACUUAGUUUUUUUAGAUAUUAAAUUUUUAAUUUUGUGGA